Long non-coding RNA from Colossoma macropomum (tambaqui), 748 nucleotides. RefSeq lists it as uncharacterized. NCBI's taxonomy places the organism in Eukaryota, Metazoa, Chordata, Actinopteri, Characiformes, Serrasalmidae. The transcript is spliced from 2 exons. The record is from RefSeq and is a predicted model, not a curated record.
UCCAAAAUGAAAUUCUAAUGAAAUGAAUAUUCAGAAUGAAGUUCUAAUAAAAUUAAUAUAUCCUGAAUGAAGUUAUAAACAAAUGAAUAUCUUCUUGUUCUUCGCAAAAUACCUGAAAUGAAAUUGAACCUGUACAGAAGAGAGGGUCCGCAAGACUGGAGCCGGUCUGGUCUGGUGGGCACAGGUGUUGCUGUUUGAAUGGCAGAUCAAAAAGUGCCUUUUCAGCCUAAAAAUCAGCUUGGAAAAGCAGCAGAAGUGAAUUCGACACAGACGUCAUGGAUAAAACAGAGCAGUGGAUGGUGGUUUGUAGGUCAGGCGCUGCUAUAAAGAGCAGAGGAAAGCUGCCCAGAGCUCACGUGACGACUGUAGGCUUACAGAGUGGAGCCUUUGUCAUCUCUGCUUUGUGUCAGUCAUAGUAGAAACUUAAUACACUGGCAAGCGUCAAAUUUAAAGACAGCAGACAGAAGUUUGAACUCUAUGUUUGAACAGUACUUGUUCAUUAAAAUGUGCUGAAUUUCAUACUAUUAUCUUUUAAAAUGUACAAAUUCAGGCUUUAAGAUUGCCUAAGCUAUUGUUUUAGCUAGGUGACGUACUUUAGUCCAUGUUUGUAGAUGACAGUGUGUCAUAGAGAGUCAUAAGCAAGUCUGUUCCAUAUUACUGAUCAACUCCACACGGUUAUAGGAUAUUAAUUUUAGAUUCGAUGUGCAUCAGUGUGAAGAUAUCAAAAGUUGCUCCAAGACAAAAUAAA